RNAcentral lists this unclassified non-coding RNA (248 nucleotides) under uncultured fungus. RNAcentral describes it as "partial contains 5.8S ribosomal RNA, internal transcribed spacer 2, and large subunit ribosomal RNA". Lineage: Eukaryota; Fungi. The record is from RNAcentral.
AACGCACACUGCGCCCGCCAGUACCCUGGCGGUGCAUGCCCGUCCGAGCGUCAGUUCUACCCGUCGAGCCCGGCUCGUGUUGGGGCGCCGCGGCCGCCGCGGGCCCCCAAAGACAGUGGCGGGACCGCCGCCGCGCCGAGCGUAGUAGCGCGAGCCUCGCUCCGGAGCGGCGGCGGCCCCCCUAGACCGAAGCCCCCAGGGCAAGCAAGGAUGACCUCGGAUCGGGCAGGGAUACCCGCUGAACUUAA